RNAcentral lists this ribosomal RNA (253 nucleotides) under uncultured bacterium. Its description in RNAcentral is "partial 16S ribosomal RNA". It matches the Rfam family "Bacterial small subunit ribosomal RNA", at positions 524 to 776 of the family's 1533-position model. The record is from RNAcentral.
UACGUAGGGUGCAGGCGUUACUCGGAAUUACUGGGCGUAAAGCGUGCGCAGGCGGCUCCUUAAGUCAGAUGUGAAAGCCCCGGGCUUAACCUGGGAACUGCGUUUGAAACUGGGGAGCUGGAGUGUAGAAGAGGGGGGUGGAAUUCCAGGUGUAGCAGUGAAAUGCGUAGAUAUCUGGAGGAACACCGAUGGCGAAGGCAGCCCCCUGGGCUAACACUGACGCUCAUGCACGAAAGCGUGGGGAGCAAACAGG